RNAcentral lists this unclassified non-coding RNA (232 nucleotides) under Hevea brasiliensis (rubber tree). The record is from RNAcentral. Lineage: Eukaryota; Viridiplantae; Streptophyta; Magnoliopsida; Malpighiales; Euphorbiaceae.
UUCUGUGUCUGUUGUGCUGCGUUCUGAUGGCAGCAUUGCAGAAUACUCGGUGGAAAACUCAAUCAUCAAACCGACAUAUAUGUUGACAUAUGAGAGUGCUACGGAGCUCCUUCAUUUGAAUCUUGAAGAAGAGAUUGAACUGAAAAUUCUUUCUGAAGCAGCUGCACUCCGGUUAAGAUGGCGUCGCGAACAGGGUGCUAUAGACACAGCCACCAUCGAAACACGAAUAAAG